Molecule: long non-coding RNA, 1443 nt
Filed under: Bos indicus x Bos taurus (hybrid cattle)
Lineage: Eukaryota; Metazoa; Chordata; Mammalia; Artiodactyla; Bovidae
Description: lncRNA (ENSBIXG00000014736.1)
Source: RNAcentral
GGGGGGGAGCAGGGGCAGGCCGAGACAGGAGGAGCAAUAAUAGCUGAGUCAGAAGCAGCGGAAGGACACCCUUUUCUUCCAGAAACACAUUCUUGGGUAAGCCUUUCAUCGGCCUGGGCUGAGCUGUCGGAGACCUGCCACUAAAUAUACAUAAGACACCUUCAGGCUGGAUUUCAUCUUAAGACCUCAAUUAAAUAUCACCCCGCCUUCCUGAUUCUUAUUAUCAAUAAUACCUCUAAUAUUCUUGUUAUUAUUUUGCAAACGACGUUUCGGCGGCGGAUGUCCCCUUGGAACUGCAGCGGGAGCCACGCCCAGGAGGGCGCUCACCUGCUGCGCGGAGCCCGGGACUUUGCCCCAUCCGCGUCCCUUGCCUCUUCCCCACUCCCCCUAGGCUGAUGGAUAUCCUUGGAUGUGGAGCCCUUUAAAAAUGACAAAUGCCUUGUCAGUACAGACCAUCCCUCCCCUCCUGCUUUCUAAUCUUUUUUUUUUUUUCGGAGCAAGGAUGGACCCAGACUCAAGCCUAGCGGCGCGGAUUACAUGGCCUGCGUUGUACCGUAAACGCCAAAACCUUGGCCUAAUUUACAGCUAAUAGAUCUCAAGCAAGGGAGUCGGGAAGAAAUCAGUGGCCUAAGGAGUUAGAUUGGGGCUUUGGAGGGAUCGGAAAUUAGGGACUGGAAGUAGGAUGUGAUUCACAUUAUUCACCGCUCCCCCCAACACACACACACACACACACGACCAGGCGCCUCCCGGCUCGGCCUUCGCGAAUGCGGCCCUUGGUUCUCCGCGGCCUGUGUCCCUGUCGCUCGCUUCCCUCCAUCGGGACCACACUGAGCGUCAGGGGCGCCUGCGAUGCGCUCAGACCCCUCGCCCUCCUCCCGGCUUCUCCCAGCCCCCGGGAGGAGGCGCUGGCGCCCGGGUCGGCCUCUGGUCCCUCCUCGUCGGCGUCCCCGGAGCCCCCAUUCACAAAGCCGCGCUUGGAGGAGGCGACACACACACACACACACACACACACACACACACACACAGACACACAGACACACACACACACACACACACACACACACACACACACACAGACACACACACACACACCCCGAAGAGGGGAGCUUGAUCUUGUCUCAUUGGUGUCUCGGGCCUGAAAGGAAAAUCGUUUGGGUAAACAGCCAAGCUUCCAGGCUUAGCGCCCGGCUCCCGCCCCCGCCCCCCGCCCCUCCGCCUCCCCCACUCCCCUUCCACCCCGCCCGCCACCCACACUCCGCUCCGCAGCCGGGCCCCGAGCGAGCUCCGCGCCGCCGGCCGGGAGUCCGGGGCUCACGAGUUCAAAGGGCCGCGGCCCCGAGGGGAUGCCCUCCUCGCUGUGCCCCGGGGGGCAGAAGCGGACCGCAGGGCGGUGGGACCGGCCCGGGCCACGGCCCCAAACACACUAAGGAGCCUUUCACGUAA